This 433-nucleotide unclassified non-coding RNA is filed under the name plant metagenome. RNAcentral describes it as "partial contains 5.8S ribosomal RNA, internal transcribed spacer 2, and large subunit ribosomal RNA". The stretch from base 1 to 107 matches the Rfam family "5.8S ribosomal RNA", at positions 48 to 154 of the family's 154-position model. The record is from RNAcentral.
GCGAAAUGCGAUAAGUAAUGUGAAUUGCAGAAUUCAGUGAAUCAUCGAAUCUUUGAACGCACAUUGCGCUCUUUGGUAUUCCGAAGAGCACGCCUGUUUGAGUAUCGAAAAAACCAUCACGACUUGGUCCUGGAGUUCGCUCCGGUUGACUUUGAGACGUGGAGUUGGGCAUUGCCUGCUUUCCCUAGCAGGUUGCCUUAAAUGUGAGCGUUGGAAGCCGGAUCUCCUCUACUGGGAUCGCUGCCCGAAAUGUACUGAAUUGAGGUCUCCGCAAGGGGAUAUCUUCAUUUUUCUUUCUUGCAGUUUUCAGAGCCCGGUGGCGAACUGGUCGACCAAUUCACCCACUACCACACACGAGGGGUCGAGAGCGAGCCGCUCAUCGAUUCGUCGAACACUUGGUCUCAAAUCAGGCGGGAAAACCCGCUGAACUUAA